UACGUAGGGUGCGAGCGUUGUCCGGAAUUAUUGGGCGUAAAGCGCGCGCAGGCGGUCCUUUAAGUCUGAUGUGAAAGCCCACGGCUCAACCGUGGAGGGUCAUUGGAAACUGGGGGACUUGAGUACAGAAGAGAAGAGUGGAAUUCCACGUGUAGCGGUGAAAUGCGUAGAGAUGUGGAGGAACACCAGUGGCGAAGGCGACUCUUUGGUCUGUAACUGACGCUGAGGCGCGAAAGCGUGGGGAGCAAACAGG
Molecule: ribosomal RNA, 253 nt
Filed under: uncultured bacterium
Lineage: Bacteria
Description: partial 16S ribosomal RNA
Rfam family: Bacterial small subunit ribosomal RNA
Source: RNAcentral